Molecule: unclassified non-coding RNA, 304 nt
Filed under: Hevea brasiliensis (rubber tree)
Lineage: Eukaryota; Viridiplantae; Streptophyta; Magnoliopsida; Malpighiales; Euphorbiaceae
Source: RNAcentral
GAAGAAAUAUAUGCGAAUUUGAAUUUGAAUAUUGAUAUUUUCUAUUAGUUAAGCUUUGACUAUAUUAAAAAAAACUGAUAAUUUUUUUUAAUGGCAUAAAUGCCCUUGUUGUUUACCUCCUCGCCCUCUCACCCAAUAAAACCACCGCUACCUCCAAAAACCUAUAGUCCUCCCUCACUAACUCCAUGCUUGAGCCUCACCUCAACUUUUAACUUCUGCACGAUACAAAACCCUAAGUUCAGUUGGCUUAGCAAUUGUGGGCGUCAAUUUGCCCACCAAAGUGCCAUUACCACACCGACAGAAA